CCUACGGGAGGCAGCAGUGGGGAAUAUUGCACAAUGGGGGAAACCCUGAUGCAGCGACGCCGCGUGAGUGAAGAAGUAUUUCGGUAUGUAAAGCUCUAUCAGCAGGGAAGAAAAUGACGGUACCUGAUUAAGAAGCCCCGGCUAACUACGUGCCAGCAGCCGCGGUAAUACGUAGGGGGCAAGCGUUAUCCGGAUUUACUGGGUGUAAGGGGAGCGUAGACGGCAGCACAAGUCUGGAGUGAAAUGCCGGGGCUUAACCCCGGAACUGCUUUGGAAACUGUGCAGCUAGAGUGCAGGAGAGGUAAGUGGAAGUCCUAGUGUAGCGGUGAAAUGCGUAGAUAUUAGGAGGAACACCAGUGGCGAAGGCGGCUUACUGGACUGUAACUGACGUUGAGGCUCGAAAGCGUGGGGAGCAAACAGGAUUAGAUACCCCUGUAGUC
Molecule: ribosomal RNA, 440 nt
Filed under: uncultured bacterium
Lineage: Bacteria
Description: partial 16S ribosomal RNA
Rfam family: Bacterial small subunit ribosomal RNA
Source: RNAcentral